RNAcentral lists this ribosomal RNA (262 nucleotides) under uncultured bacterium. RNAcentral describes it as "partial 16S ribosomal RNA". It matches the Rfam family "Bacterial small subunit ribosomal RNA", at positions 15 to 273 of the family's 1533-position model. The record is from RNAcentral.
GAUCCUGGCUCAGGAUGAACGCUAGCGGCAGGCUUAACACAUGCAAGUCGAGGGGCAGCACGGGGCGGCAACGUCCUGGCGGCGACCGGCGGAAGGGUGCGUAACGCGUGAGCGACAUGCCCGUUGCCCGGGGACAACCGGUGGAAACGCCGACUAAUCCCCGAUGGGACGGAGGCCCUCAUGGGUCUCUGUUGAAAGUUACGGCGGCGACGGAUUGGCUCGCGUCCGAUUAGCCUGUUGGCGGGGUAACGGCCCACCAAGG